Molecule: long non-coding RNA, 251 nt
Filed under: Setaria viridis
Lineage: Eukaryota; Viridiplantae; Streptophyta; Magnoliopsida; Poales; Poaceae
Description: long non-coding RNA (SVIR_LNC008129)
Source: RNAcentral
UGACUUGUUCAAGCUGUUCGACCACUUGGUUUGGCUAAAAAGGGGGAACGAAGAGUCAAGGGUUGAUUCACAAUAACCAAUUCAGAAUUAAGAAAGCAUAGCGAUACCUGAUUGAACGAUGAAGAAGAUGACAUCUUGGACAUGAGGGUUUCAGUUUGAAUCAAGUGCUUACAGAGAUGAAGGCCAGUGCGGUUGUGCGAAUGCACCUAAGAGGAACGAUUGCUGCUCAUAUUUAUAGAAUGGCAUUGAAG